Molecule: ribosomal RNA, 414 nt
Filed under: uncultured microorganism
Description: bacterial SSU rRNA
Rfam family: Archaeal small subunit ribosomal RNA
Source: RNAcentral
CAGCCGCCGCGGUAAUACCGGCGGCCCGAGUGGCGGCCACUAUUAUUGGGCUUAAAGCGUCCGUAGCCGGGUUGGUUAGUCUCCCGGGAAAUCUGGCCGCUUAACGGUCAGAAUUCCGGGAGAUACUGCCAGCCUAGGGACCGGGAGAGGCCGAGGGUAUUCCCGGAGUAGGGGUGAAAUCCUAUAAUCCCGGGAGGACCACCUGUGGCGAAGGCGCUCGGUUGGAACGGGUCCGACGGUGAGGGACGAAGGCCAGGGGAGCAAACCGGAUUAGAUACCCGGGUAGUCCUGGCUGUAAACGAUGCGGACUUUGUGUCGGACAAGCUAUGAGCUUGUCCGGUGCCGGAGGGAAACCGUUAAGUCCGCCGCCUGGGGAGUACGGCCGCAAGGCUGAAACUUAAAGGAAUUGGCGGG